GUUUUUUCUGCCCUGCAAAAUGGUCCUGAUUUAUUACAUGCCCUGGCAUACAUUCCAUGCCGCCUGGGCGUGAUGGCCACACCCAACCCCUGGCCACAUGGGGUCCAAUGACUUGAUCUAAGAGUCGCCAACCUCCAAACCCUUUUAGCCAUAAAAUGCGGUAACUGUGGCACACCCCAUCCCUUCCUGCAGGGACACAGCCAAGCCAGCCCUGGGCAGUGUGGAUUGGGAAGGGAGCAGAAAUGGAGGCUCAGAGACAGUGAAUCAUUUGUACAAGGUCCUAGAGCCACACGCCCACAUCUUUCCAUGCUCCGGGCUGCCUCUCAUUCCAGGAUGAAGGGCUCGAGUCUGGGAUUUUUCCAACAUUCUAUUUUUCCCUAUCAUGAGACGAAGGAGCAAUUCCUGAGCUAAGCAAUCUGGAACCCUCGGUGGCCAUCUUCAGUGAUCCUCUAGCUAUAGUCUACUGAAUCCUGUGCUUCUGCCACCAGCAUCAGGAGCCCAGUGACGGGGAGUUUGUGGAAAGAUGAGCUUGGGGGGAGAGCUGAGUGGGGCUGUGUGGGAUGGGGAGGGCGUAACCCGGAAGCUCCACAGGUCCUGUGCUGGGGAACAUUCUCCUCAGUGGCCAUCAGAAGACAGGCUGCAGUGACCACACAGGGCACUCUGGAGGCAGAUAUAAGUGGGAGUUGUGCCGGCAGUGCCAUGGCAUGUCAAGGCAGGCCUCCGGGGCAAGAAACACCAGGUUUAUUUGGGGUACGUCGGGUUUAGUGGGGAAUCCCUCGGCCCAGCUCUCAGCGAUGGGUGGGCCAUAGUUUGAGAGCCACUGGGCCAGGCAUUCUCUGGGAGUAUUGUGGCUUUAACUUACUGUCUCCCGAGCAGGGGGUGCCGAGGAGCUGGGAGACCCAGGGGGAAGACGUCCCCACAGCAGGGGGCCCUUUGUGGAUGAGAGUGGUUUGGCAACUUCCACAGCUUCCAGUCACUCUGAAGUCAGAGGCUCGGGGAUUCUUUAACUGCUGUACAUCCGGGAAACGGGAACAGCCAAGGCCGAGCUCAGCGUUGGCCCCGAGAGGAGUGAGGGCGUGCUUGAUGUGUCUCCAGUCUUCCUUUCUUCUUCCUGCCUGAAAGGACGGAGGCAUUAGAGAGAAUCACUAGGAAGAAAGAGGUGCUCCCCAAGACUCUGAAGACCUCAAGGGCUGGCCCAUGCUGGACAGAAGCGGAGUGAGAAGGAGGCAGAGAGUGCAAACCUGGGGUGAGUGGAGAAAGCAGCUGGGGGGCAGAACCCAGAGAAAAACAACGCUGAGGCGCGGCCCCUAAGAGGGGGCGCCAGCAGGAAAUAUUCAUGAGCACCAACUGUGCCCUUUCGUAAAGCCCUCAUAAUACCUCGGUAAAACAAGCGUUGUUAUUCCCACUUUGCUGAUGGUAAAGCUGAGAUUCUGAGAGGUCAGACAACCUGCCUGCUCACACAAUACGCCACAGAAGCAGGCUUUGAACCUAAGACUGUUUGGCUCCAAAGCGCUUGUCCUGCCUCCUACACCAACUUCCCAUUUUCCCCUGGAACUGACCCUGCAGAGAACAUACUUCUCAUACCACAAAGGGCUUCUAGAACCUGCUGCUGCAGGACGGUGCCUCCGAGAGUCACCAUUGCUCACGAUGUCUUUGAAGCCCACAGAUAUUUGAUAAAUAUCUGUAGAAGAAGAGUGGGAGGAAGAAAGAGAGAAAAAAGAAGGAAAAGAAAUUGGCACCUACUCUGUGCCAAGGCCUCUAUAUACGGUCACAUUUCAUUUUCUUUGUGGAUUAAUUUAUACCUCCCUUUAUUUCUGAAGCUCCUGGAGGCAGCCGUAAGCACUGUCAGGUCCAUUUCCAGUGAGGAAACGUAGGUGCAGAGAGGUAAAGCGAUGAGUCUAAAGGGGCUCAAGCACCCAGGGGAGGGUGCUUAUAACUGGGUUCGACCAUUCAAUGCGUAUUUAUUGAGCUCCUACUCCGAGCCAGGCACAGUUCUAGGCUUGUGGGAUAUUUCAGUGCACAAAGCGGAUAAUGACCCCUGCCCUCGCAGAACUUACGGUUUGUGGGAAUCUAAAAUUCCAGUGAUGUGUAACAGAGGAAAGGGCGGCAGGCCCUGACGCAGAAUACGCAGGAAGUAGACCUCCCGAGGCUGCCAUCUUGGGCUGAGCUCCAUGUCAUCCCCGUCUCCCGCUUCACUAUCUGAAGCCGGAAGCAGGUGGCCUGCAGGACAGUGGAGGAGGUGGCACGGAGUCUCUUCCCUGGCUGCCUCCAUAGGAGGUUUGGGGGUUUGAGCCCUUCUGAUUAGAAGGGUAAGAUCCGGAUGCUGAUGGAACAGUUCACAAGAGUUAUGAAUCUCUAGGAACAUUCCUAGCUGUUUUGAGUUCCAAAUUCUGGCCCAGGUUUGGGGAGGAGGCCAUACUCCCCAGAUCUAUGCAGUCCCCCUGGAGCUCCAUGUUUUGAGGGCUCUGGAAGAAUCUGAAGAUGGUGGUGGCGAGGAUGUUGGUGUCUCAUGUUGGGUUCUGUCAGCCCGGGCAGCCGAAGGGCUCCCUCAGGUGGUUUUUUGGGCUGUGGGUGUCAGAGCAGGAACGGAUCAUGUUGGGCUCUUAGUGGUGGGUGAUGGCAGGUGACAGACUGGGUAUGAAGCACAUCUUUGGGAACUCACAGAAACACCUCAUAGGUACUUAAAGAGGCAUCCAAUUUCCUACUUAGAUAGGUGGAUGUGGGGUGGGGCAUGGAGUCAUUUUAAUUGGGCCAUAAGUGUAAAUUAGACCUUAUUUUGUAGACCCAGGAUGCUGAGGACAGCAGACAUUUGUCACAUAUAAUAACUGUACUUUCCUUGCCAGCAAUUGAGAGGAGAGAGACAACGAGGAGAAGUUGAAUCUAAUGGAUUAUUCCAAAGGCCAGAGCCCUUCAAAAGAAAAAGGCUGGAGUCCUUAAUAGGACGCCAAGGCCCUCAUGAACGAGCCCCUGAGCACCCACCCUGUGUAGCCUCCUGGCAGGCUCC
Molecule: long non-coding RNA, 3004 nt
Filed under: Equus asinus (donkey)
Lineage: Eukaryota; Metazoa; Chordata; Mammalia; Perissodactyla; Equidae
Description: lncRNA (ENSEASG00005033059.1)
Source: RNAcentral